RNAcentral lists this long non-coding RNA (628 nucleotides) under Citrus maxima (pomelo). RNAcentral's name for it is "long non-coding RNA (CMAX_LNC003101)". Lineage: Eukaryota; Viridiplantae; Streptophyta; Magnoliopsida; Sapindales; Rutaceae. The record is from RNAcentral.
UUGUAUUAUAAAACUAUUUAUUGAACUCUAUAUAUAAUAAAACAUAAAAGGGAUUUACAAUAGUAAUAAUCUAAGUAUAUUUUCCAUGUGAUGCUAGUAAUACCAUAUAGAAUGAUAUAUGGGACCCUACAAAAAAAGGAAAAUAAAAAAUUAAAGUAUGUUAAUAAUGAUUUCAACUUUUGGACUCAAAUUCUAAGACAAUUUUUGCUACUAGAAAUACAAACAAACACUUGAGAAAAACUAAAGUAUAACGUUGAACAUAUAUAAAGCAUAAGAAUAAAAACAAACGGAAAAAAAAAGAGGCUAUAUGUGUCAUCAUCUUCAUUAGUUAAACAACAUAAAUUGAAUAAAAAUAUUAAUGAAUAUACCAAAACCUUCAAAUUCUCUAAACAUUCAAGUGUCUUCAGAUUACAAAGAAAAUGAAAUUUAUAAAAAAAAAUCAAGAAUGCGUAUUCGCCGCGGUAUUUUAUCAAACAAUUGGCGUGCAACAAUGUAAAUGACAAUUAAAAUUUGCAAAGCUCUGUACUUUGAAAUCUCACCUCCAUUAUUCAUCCAAAGAGAGAUAUAGAAGGCAUAUACGUUGCUUCUUUGAUAUUUAUCCCCAUAUUCAAUUAUUUUCAUGAUUUCU